Molecule: non-coding RNA, 165 nt
Organism: Photobacterium marinum
Lineage: Bacteria; Pseudomonadati; Pseudomonadota; Gammaproteobacteria; Vibrionales; Vibrionaceae
Source: Rfam
GCAAUCUCAGACGUGUUGUUCUGAGACUCAUGUGUUGCGAUUAAUUCAAGCUGAUGUUAUCGCAAUACGCCGUAGGUACUAACGGUGCAUCGUUAGUAGAAGGGCAUUAAUAGCGCUGCUUUGCUGGAAAGAAAAAAGGCGGCAGCAUAUUGAGGGAACCCAACA